This is a non-coding RNA of Lolium perenne, 1025 nucleotides long. The record is from RefSeq and is a predicted model, not a curated record. NCBI's taxonomy places the organism in Eukaryota, Viridiplantae, Streptophyta, Magnoliopsida, Poales, Poaceae.
CCCAUUUCCUCCCAACCACCAAACCCUAACCCCCAAACGCGGCGGCGGCGGCGUCGCGGCGGGCUUCCUCGCCGGCGCGCGCGUGCGUGUAUCCAUGCGCGCCGCCCCGUCGAGCUUGCCCGCCCGCGUCGCGCGACCACCAUCCGCAGCCACCACGAGAUGGCGGCCCAAAUUCCUGCCUCCGGUGGCCGCCAGAUCCGGGGACGCCUCCACCUCCACGACGCCCGCGUCCCCGACACGUCCAGCAAUGAGCGGCUCCGGCGCCGCCGAGGCCUCCAAGGUCGUCGCCGUCCGCAGAAUCAGUCCAUCUGCUCGACCUGCCACUCCACGCAACACCACUACGGGGACGCCGAGACCUGAUGAUAUCUGGCGCCAAGAUGGCGACUAGUCUUGGUACCAAGGGGCUUGCAGUAACAUUUGAUUCUUCUUCCUCUAGUUCUGAUGUUCCAAGUCAGGUACAAUAAAGCUUCGAGGUUGACAUAAAGGAGCUCAUAGCUUCCGCGGCUCCCUGUUUCGCCGACCUGCGCCUCCACAUGGACUAUUACGUUCCUUUCCCAUGGCUUCCUCACGUGGACUCAUACUUUUCUUCCUGUUGAUCCUUGCCACUGUCAGCAGCCUCAAACUGUGGUCGCAUUCCAUUGGGUGUAGCCGGAUGCUGUUAGAUUUGCUGACAAAAGACUACUGGACCAAGGGUGAUACGGACUCUGGGUAUGGUGCGAAGGCACAUGAUAAAAUUGGUCAAGUUAGAGGAAGGGGCUUUAGACAUGAGAAUACCAAGAUGAAGUGUGUUGGUGGUGGCUGUCCACUGGAGCUGCUGCCGGUGUCCACUAAGGCCUGCUGCCAUUGCCUUCUUUGACUGUGACUUCUCCUACCGUGAUGGCCUUCUUCAACUCCAUGUGUUUAGGCGGAUGAUGCGGACUCUGGGUACGGCGGGAAGGCACAUGAGAUAAGUGGCCAAGUUAGAGGAAGGGUCUUUAGACAUGAGAAGACCAAGAUGAAGCGUGUUGGUGGUGCUGUCCACUUGG